CCCUUAGAUGUUCUGGGCCGCACGCGUGCUACACUGAGUGGAUCAGCGGGUCAGGUUGCGCGAAAGCGUUUCCUAAUCUUUAAAUCCGCUCGUGAUGGGGAUUGACGGUUGCAAUUUUCUGUCAUGAACGAGGAAUACCUUGUAAGCGCGGGUCAUCAUCCCGCGCUGAAUACGUCCCUGCCCUUUGCACACACCGCCCGUCGCUCCUACCGAUUGAGUGGUCCGGUGAGGCUUUGGGAUCUGAGCGGAAAGAGCGUUUCGCUGUUUCUGCUCGGAAAACUCAGUCGAACCUUAUCAUUUAGAGGAAGGAGAAGUCGUAACA
Molecule: ribosomal RNA, 322 nt
Filed under: uncultured eukaryote
Lineage: Eukaryota
Description: partial 18S ribosomal RNA
Rfam family: Eukaryotic small subunit ribosomal RNA
Source: RNAcentral